Molecule: long non-coding RNA, 1367 nt
Organism: Mauremys mutica (yellowpond turtle)
Lineage: Eukaryota; Metazoa; Chordata; Testudines; Geoemydidae
Exons: 6
Source: RefSeq, a predicted model, not a curated record
AGGAGACCUCAACAGUCCUCAGGUUUCUGCCUUCUGCCUAACUGGCUGUGAGUAAGCGUAGCAAGAGAAAAGAAAUCACAGGCCAGAGUAUACUGCCCUCGUGCAAUGGAAAGAGAGCAAGAGCGAUGAGUCUGCAAGCAUUGAUGCGAGGCAGCAGGCGUCCAUCUGGGAGCGGAACCGCCACCACUCUCAAUGAGAUAAGUGUCUUCUUUGGUGAUCGCUCUGCUCAAGGCCCAUCUUGCUCCCGGUAGGGACACCCCGUUAGCUGGGGCUGGGUUUGUAAGAAAAGGUUCCUGACUAGUUGUGGUUACAAGGGAGACGAUGUCCCCAUUUUCAGGGGCUGCUCAUGUCUCUGGCUAGGACCAGUGUGUCCUCGGCAGCAUAUUAGAUCCAGGGGGAUGACUCCAGCUGUUUGCAGAGGAAUCGUCCAGGAGCCCCAGCCGGAUGAGCAUGUCAGAAGUGGACCUCAGCAGCCUGGACAUCCUUCUAAGGAAACAAGAAUAGUCCUCAGGUUUCUGCCUUCUGCAUAACUGGCUUACCAAGGAAAAAGACGUCACAUGUCAAAGUCUACUGCCCUUAUGAGUGAGAGUGACGAGACUGCGAGUGGUGUUGGUGCCAGGCAGGAGCUGUCCCUCUGGGAGCAGAACAGCUGCUACUAUCACUGAGAUAAGUAUCUGUUUUGCUGAGGGUUCUGCUCACGGCCCACCUGGCUACAGGUAGAGACACCCCGUUAGGUGGAGUGGGUUUGUAAGAAAAGGUUCCUGACUAGCUGUGGUUUUGAGGGAGACACGGUCCCCAUUUCCAGGGGCUGAUUUCUCUGUCCAGGAUCGGUGUGUCCUCGGCAGGAGAAGGUUAGAUCCAUGAGGGAUGACUCCAGGUGAGGAAUUGUCCAGGAGCAGCAGCUGAAGGAGAAAGUGGCAGACGCGGACCUGAGGAGCCUGCACAUCCUUCUAAGCAGACAUGAAAGGUCCUCAGAUUUCUGCGUCCCGCACAACUGGCUGUGAGUAAGCGGUCAGUGCUUGGAAUCCCUCAUCUGUACUGGCUCCGGUUUUGUUCAGAGGCUCUGAAUUUCUUCAUUGGACACAGUGCUCUGUGGGAUUCAGACGAAGCAAAGGCACAAGUCUCCUGUGCAGAUGCUGGGUUUAGUACCAAGUGGAGAGUCAGAAUCCACUCCGCACAUGCCAUGGAAAGGAAGCGAGAGCUGGGAGAUUCUAAGCACUGUUGAUGCCAGGGAAGAGCCAUCCAGCUGGGAGUGGAGCAAGGACCACUGUCAGUGAGAUAAGUGUCUUGUUAGGUGAAGGCUUUGCUGUGGUUACGAGGGAGACAAGGUCCCUAUUUUCAGGGGCUGCUCAGUCCUCUGGCCAGUA